CACGUAGGCGGUAGGACAAGUUAGAUGUGAAAUGCCAGGGCUUAACCUUGGGACUGCAUCUAAAACUGUUUUACUAGAGUUCACUAGAGGGAAGUGGAACUUCCGGUGUAGCGGUGAAAUGCGUAGAUAUCGGAAGGAACAUCAGUGGCGAAGGCGGCUUUCUGGAGUUGAACUGACGCUAAUGUGCGAAAGCGUGGGGAGCAAACA
RNAcentral lists this ribosomal RNA (207 nucleotides) under uncultured bacterium. RNAcentral describes it as "partial 16S ribosomal RNA". It matches the Rfam family "Bacterial small subunit ribosomal RNA", at positions 568 to 774 of the family's 1533-position model. The record is from RNAcentral.